GACGUGGGGGGGGGUGCCGUGGGCGGGGGCGGAGACCGGGGUCGGGGCGCCGAGUUAGGGACCAAGGUGACCGAGUCCAGACUGUGGAUGGCGAGCUUGGGGACCCAGCAGGCGGGGCGAGGUCGCUCUGUGCCGCCCACGCCGGAUGCACAGCCGGCCCUCUCCGCGCCCACGUACCCACGUGAGCGCCCCGCCGGCCACAUUCCUACUUCCCCCACCGCCCCUACUCCCGAGCUGAGAGCGCAGUUUCACAACCACGCACAGGUACACAAAGACAGAGAGGCGCACUACGUGCACGCGCGUCUAAACAACUACGCGGUCGCCGGCUGCCCACACGCCGGCCUCGCCGAGCUGUUCUACGAAUGUUAGGAGUGAGCCGGGAAAAGUUAGGAAGCCCGGGGCGCGCUGCUCCUGUGCGCGCAACUGACUGCCGGGUGUGUGAACUUGUGGCAAACCCGUGAGCUUGGGGCCCUGCACAAAUCCUUCGAGAUCCUGUCGCCCUUCGUCAGCCUCAAAACGAGAUACCUGAGGAAGCUGCUCUUAGAAACCCAGGCCUCCUCAUCCCUGCCUGGAGUCGUCGCCCAACUUUUGGGGAGUAGGGACGGGGCGGUUGUGCUGGAAGCCACCUUUUAGGUGCGCGCUGAUUGCGCGUGGGGUUUUGUUCCCAAGGGUCAGGCAGAGAUGGAGACAUCCUGCCUUCCUCGCGCCCUUAUUUCCUGAGGAUGGGGUUCUGCUCGAUGGCAAAGCUGGGAUAAGGUGACCCUUCUGCGGUCGGCUGUGGGGGAUCUUGCCAGAGUGUGCAGGGCGGGUGAGAAGGCCCGAAGGUCCGACGUGACUCCGUAAGGAAAAGCCGGAGGGCGGAGCGUUUUCAGGAGCCUAGCCCCCUCCGCACCCACCGCCCCGCCCUGGCCCCAUCUGGUUCCCAUUACACUGCCGCCCACGCUGAGAGGGCUGCAGGGGGAGGCGGGGGCUCUAGGCCUGGGGGAAGGAGGCGGCCGCGGGAAGCGAGCGAAUUGGCCAUGGGCGAGGGUCCCCUCAUCCGAAACCUCAGGCCCGCCCCGCCGGUCCGCACUGCUGAGUGGCGGGCAGGGCUGGCGCGGGCGGCGUGGGCCGGGGCUGGUUCUACAUUCCGGCUUGGCAAGGGGACCUUUCGUCUCCGGUGGGGGCAGGGGAGAGGGUGCGUUGUUGGUGGAGGUAUUUCAGCAGCUCAGAUUCUUGUCUCUAUCCCAUUAAACACCAAACAGGAUGGGGGUGGCAGAAAUCAGCAGAGUCUUUCUCUCGAUCGUGGUCCUGCAAGAGAGGGUGCGGCCAGACCCCCUAGGAGAGCCAGGGGGAGGGGACAGUGCCCCUCCCCCACUCCCGCGCCGGUUAUUUUGGAGCAGGGGCUGCCAGCCGCUGGCCCUGGGUUUCCACGUGCCCCCGCCCUGCCCAUGCCCACGCUCCCCGUGACGCACAUCCUCCGCCCACGCAGCCUCUGCUCCAGGCGCCCCCCUCCCUCCCACCAACCCGGCUAGGGGCGGCGUUGAGUCCUGGGAUCUGGAGGGAGAUGCCGGCCCGAGGAGGGGGUGGAGUGGGGCGUGAAGCUAGGCGGAGGCUGCCCGGUGGGCGCUGGGCGCCUGGGUUCCGGUCAGGAAAGAGGACCCGGGCGGAGCCGAUGCUGAGGCCUCCACUCCCGGGUCCUGGGGCGGGUGCUUGACCAGAGAGAGGAAGGAGGAAAGAAAAACCCCGCGGAAGGGGCUGGCCACGCGCCUAGGGGAGUCAGUGGGGAUCCGAGUGCGAACUUGUGCUGAGAGCGAAAGUACCCGGUGUUUCUACGUUUGUUUCUCUAGAUCAGCGUAAGGUUCAAAUACAUGGCGUGCAAGUGAAGACUGCACAUUGUAGAAUGCUAGGCAAGUUUCAGACGCGGUUCACCGUACCCUCCGCUGCUGUGUUUAUGUUUCCUCACAUCUUCUUGUAUAUAUGUGUCUCUGGUUCUCUAGGUUUGUAUCGGGGCCCUAUGUGUGGAUUUAAAAAUAUAUACAUUUAAAAAAUCAUUGACUUGUCAGGCCCGCCAGAGGCCCGGAGCGCCCCCGCAGCCCGCAGCCGGAGCUGCUGAGAUGUCUGUUCUUCGCUUCCACCCACUCCUACCUCCCCCGCCUCCCCUCCUACUCCCUUCCGUUGAGAACAAGGAAUUUCCAGUCUAAAGCAAGGGAGAGAGACUGAGACCGCGAGAGAAACUAUAGAAAAACAAAAAAGAUGGGAGACAGGUGUGUGGGGGGAGGUGUGUGACAAAAAAAUGGAUUGGGGACAAAUAGAAAAAUGUUCAUUUCUUGUUCUGCGCAUCAUUCUCACUCAGGACCACAGCCUCACCCCCGUCCCAGGCAUGCAGAGCUGAUCCACUGAUCUCACUUAAUGAGAGUUUAAUAUGCCCUGUAUUGUCUAUACUGGUCUCUUCCAGGAAGGGAAAUUCUCCUUGGUCCUCGUUCUCCAGGAAAAGCGGGGGAAAGCUUGGGAAGAAAGGGAAGAAGCUCAGGACCGCUCCACAGUAGGCCUGAUACCUGGGGGUCCUCUGAAAAGAAGGAAAGGAGGGUGCUGUUUACAAGACAGAGAAACCUUGAAGAGGGCACCCAGACUGGUCUCGAACUUGCAACCAUCGAUCGUCC
Molecule: long non-coding RNA, 2642 nt
Organism: Chinchilla lanigera (long-tailed chinchilla)
Lineage: Eukaryota; Metazoa; Chordata; Mammalia; Rodentia; Chinchillidae
Exons: 3
Source: RefSeq, a predicted model, not a curated record